GAAAAUAGCUGACUUACCAUUAACUCCUGGCCCAAAUUACAUACGCUUAACGCUUUCCAUUAUUUCUGUUCUCUGGUCGUACCCCCCACUUGGGAAACACGCGCUAACUCAACCCCCCUUUCUACCACUAGAUGACCAACUCUUUCGUUUUUUUUUGGGCCAUAACAAAGCUCAGUACGCCGUGUUCAAUGCCCAAUUGAAGACAUAAUUACUACUUAAAAGCGGCAUUAACGCUAUCACUUACACAUGUCACAUGCUCGUCGGAGCAUUACGGAAGACAAUAAAACUGAAAACUGAAAACGAACACGGGGGGGCGGUGGGCCUCCCUUCUUUUCACUGUGCCACAUCAUCGGCGGACCCAAAUAACAGCCUCAUCAUGAUCUUGACUGGGCACAAAACGCGUUCCAGCUGUGGUUGCCUCUUUUGUACGAUGCUGGAAUCUCAGAUCUUCGAGAUGGAGAUCUCCGAUAUUAUGGAAACUGGGAGCCGGGGGACGUCUCAUCAUUAUCAUCAUCAUCACAUCGCUCACUCGAAAAAAUACUAUACAUAGCUAACUGCAACCAGAAAAAUUGAGAACGAGAAGACUCGAGAUUAGUCCUUUUCAUGAGAAGAAGCUUUUUUGAAUUCGAGAAGAAAACGAACUCAAUGUUCAUAUAUUUUCAGUGGAAAGAGGCAAAUGAGAGCCAAGUCAUUUG
Drosophila melanogaster (fruit fly) is the source of this 695-nucleotide non-coding RNA. Lineage: Eukaryota; Metazoa; Arthropoda; Insecta; Diptera; Drosophilidae. The record is from Ensembl.